CAGGAAAAUAACGUGUGGCAUGUCAUUAAUUAUGCAAGACGUUAAAGAACCUGAAGUAUUCAGUGGUCGUGCUCGUUUUACGUUUAGUGUUUGCAACCAAUCUCCGGUUGUACAGUCAAACACAUCGAUGUGUGUAUCACUAUAAACUAGAACAGCGGGAUACAUAAUUUCACGAUCUCUAUUCUUUCUACCUUGGCUGUCGACGUAUACUGCCAAUGUAUGGAAGACUAAUAAGAAUUCACCACGCGGUAAUUCGAUACAACGUAAAGCAUCCACAGCGCUAUACGUGAGAAAACCUAAGAGCGUAUUCUCAGAAUGGACCAAUGCUAAAUUGCAAAGAACAAAUAAUUAGAACAAUUGUUCAUAUUUUAUAUAAAUUCUUUGUAUAUUUCUAUCAUACUAAUACUCACAAAUCGGGUGAUGGUCUCCUAAAAUGCUGUAGAUAGAAAACCCAGAAGGAUAUCCAACACAAAAACGACCUUCAGAGAGUACUUGCAGGGUUUGUGCGUGACACGGUAACAUCAAUUCACGUAUACGUUUAUGACGUGUUUUCGUACGCGUUAUUUCGUAGAUGAUCACUUGUGAUGCAUUCUACGUUACAAAUGAUGACGUUUAAAAUAAAAAUUUUAGAAAAGAAUGAAUUAGAAGGAAGACAAUAAUGGUAAUAUAAAAUGGUAAUCUAAGAAAGAUUUGUUACCUGUUUCUUUAUGGCAACGCAUAAACAAUAUGUUAAUGGAGUACGUCGUACUACUCCUGUUGUUAAAGUAAUACAUCCUUUUGUCUCUGCAACUUUAAUCCAUUCAACUUCAUCUCCAUCCAAUGCACGUACUGGGACCAGCCGUACAUGACGUUGUUUUCCACUUAAAACUACAAUUAAUUGU
Nomia melanderi (Alkali bee) is the source of this 881-nucleotide long non-coding RNA. RefSeq lists it as uncharacterized. The record is from RefSeq and is a predicted model, not a curated record. Lineage: Eukaryota; Metazoa; Arthropoda; Insecta; Hymenoptera; Halictidae.